CGUCCUACGGGGGGCAGCAGUGGGGAAUAUUGCACAAUGGGGGAAACCCUGAUGCAGCAACUCCGCGUGAGUGAAGAAGUAUUUCGAUAUGUAAAGCUCUAUCAGUAGGGAAGAAGAAAGACGGUACCUGACUAAGAAGCCCCGGCUAACUACGUGCCAGCAGCCGCGGUAAUACGUAGGGGGCAAGCGUUAUCCGGAUUUACUGGGUGUAAAGGGAGCGUAGACGGCAUAGCAAGUCUGAAGUGAAAGCCCGUGGCUCAACCGCGGAACUGCUUGUGAA
RNAcentral lists this ribosomal RNA (280 nucleotides) under uncultured bacterium. RNAcentral describes it as "partial 16S ribosomal RNA". It matches the Rfam family "Bacterial small subunit ribosomal RNA", at positions 335 to 631 of the family's 1533-position model. The record is from RNAcentral.